Molecule: ribosomal RNA, 1731 nt
Filed under: Serratia ureilytica
Lineage: Bacteria; Pseudomonadati; Pseudomonadota; Gammaproteobacteria; Enterobacterales; Yersiniaceae
Description: partial 23S ribosomal RNA
Rfam family: Bacterial large subunit ribosomal RNA
Source: RNAcentral
GGUUAAGUGACUAAGCGUACACGGUGGAUGCCUAGGCAGUCAGAGGCGAUGAAGGGCGUGCUAAUCUGCGAAAAGCGUCGGUAAGGUGAUAUGAACCGUUACAACCGGCGAUACCCGAAUGGGGAAACCCAGUGUGUUUCGACACACUAUCAUGUCAUGAAUACAUAGUGGCAUGAGGCGAACCGGGGGAACUGAAACAUCUAAGUACCCCGAGGAAAAGAAAUCAACCGAGAUUCCCCCAGUAGCGGCGAGCGAACGGGGAGGAGCCCAGAACCUGAAUCGGCUUGUGUGUUAGUGGAAGCGUCUGGAAAGUCGCGCAGCAAAGGGUGAUAGCCCCGUACACUAAAAUGCACAGGUCGUGAGUUCGAUGAGUAGGGCGGGACACGUGACAUCCUGUCUGAAUAUGGGGGGACCAUCCUCCAAGGCUAAAUACUCCUGACUGACCGAUAGUGAACCAGUACCGUGAGGGAAAGGCGAAAAGAACCCCGGCGAGGGGAGUGAAAUAGAACCUGAAACCGUGUACGUACAAGCAGUGGGAGCACCUUCGUGGUGUGACUGCGUACCUUUUGUAUAAUGGGUCAGCGACUUAUAUUUUGUAGCAAGGUUAACCGUAUAGGGGAGCCGUAGGGAAACCGAGUCUUAACUGGGCGAUUAGUUGCAAGGUAUAGACCCGAAACCCGGUGAUCUAGCCAUGGGCAGGUUGAAGGUUGGGUAACACUAACUGGAGGACCGAACCGACUAAUGUUGAAAAAUUAGCGGAUGACUUGUGGCUGGGGGUGAAAGGCCAAUCAAACCGGGAGAUAGCUGGUUCUCCCCGAAAGCUAUUUAGGUAGCGCCUCGUGAACUCAUCUUCGGGGGUAGAGCACUGUUUCGGCUAGGGGGCCAUCCCGGCUUACCAAACCGAUGCAAACUCCGAAUACCGAAGAAUGUUAUCACGGGAGACACACGGCGGGUGCUAACGUCCGUCGUGAAGAGGGAAACAACCCAGACCGCCAGCUAAGGUCCCAAAGUCAUGGUUAAGUGGGAAACGAUGUGGGAAGGCAUAGACAGCCAGGAUGUUGGCUUAGAAGCAGCCAUCAUUUAAAGAAAGCGUAAUAGCUCACUGGUCGAGUCGGCCUGCGCGGAAGAUGUAACGGGGCUAAACCAUGCACCGAAGCUGCGGCAGCGACGCUUAGGCGUUGUUGGGUAGGGGAGCGUUCUGUAAGCCGUUGAAGGUGGCCUGUGAGGGUUGCUGGAGGUAUCAGAAGUGCGAAUGCUGACAUAAGUAACGAUAAAGCGGGUGAAAAGCCCGCUCGCCGGAAGACCAAGGGUUCCUGUCCAACGUUAAUCGGGGCAGGGUGAGUCGACCCCUAAGGCGAGGCUGAAAAGCGUAGUCGAUGGGAAACAGGUUAAUAUUCCUGUACUUGGUGUUACUGCGAAGGGGGGACGGAGAAGGCUAGGCUGGCCGGGCGACGGUUGUCCCGGUUUAAGCGUGUAGGGGGUGUGACCUGGUAAAUCCGGUUGCAUAUCAACCCUGAGGCGUGAUGACGAUGCACUACGGUGCAGAAGUAGUUGAUGCCCUGCUUCCAGGAAAAUCCUCUAAGCUCCAGGUAACAUUAAAUCGUACCCCAAACCGACACAGGUGGUCAGGUAGAGAAUACCAAGGCGCUUGAGAGAACUCGGGUGAAGGAACUAGGCAAAAUGGUGCCGUAACUUCGGGAGAAGGCACGCUGGCAUGUAGGUGAAGUCCCU